GAAGGGACCUAGCGUAGUUCGGAAUUACUGGGCUUAAAGAGUUCGUAGGUGGUUGAAAAAGUUGGUGGUGAAAUCCCAGAGCUUAACUCUGGAACUGCCAUCAAAACUUUUCAGCUAGAGUAUGAUAGAGGAAAGCAGAAUUUCUAGUGUAGAGGUGAAAUUCGUAGAUAUUAGAAAGAAUACCAAUUGCGAAGGCAGCUUUCUGGAUCAUUACUGACACUGAGGAACGAAAGCAUGGGUAGCGAAGAGGAUUAGAUACCCUCGUAGUCCAUGCCGUAAACGAUGUGUGUUAGACGUUGGAAAUUUAUUUUCAGUGUCGCAGGGAAACCGAUAAACACACCGCCUGGGGAGUACGACCGCAAGGUUAAAACUCAAAUGAAUUGACGGGGACCCGCACAAGUAGUGGAGCAUGUGGUUUAAUUCGAAGAUACGCGCAGAACCUUACCAACACUUGACAUGUUCGUCGCGACUCUAAGAGAUUAGAGUUUUCGGUUCGGCCGGACGAAACACAGGUGCUGCAUGGCUGUCGUCAGCUCGUGUCGUGAGAUGUUGGGUUAAGUCCCGCAACGAGCGCAACCCUCACUUUUAGUUGCCAUCAUUAAGUUGGGCACUCUGAAAGAACUGCCAGUGAUAAGCUGGAGGAAGGUGGGGAUGACGUCAAGUCCUCAUGGCCCUUACGUGUUGGGCUACACACGUGCUACAAUGGCAUCUACAACAGGAAGCAAAACGGCAACGUUAAGCAAAUCCCGAAAAGAUGCCUCAGUUCGGAUUGCACUCUGCAACUCGAGUGCAUGAAGCUGGAAUUACUAGUAAUCGUGGAUCAGCGUGCCACGGUGAAUGCGUUCCCGGGUCUU
RNAcentral lists this ribosomal RNA (854 nucleotides) under uncultured organism. RNAcentral's name for it is "bacterial SSU rRNA". It matches the Rfam family "Bacterial small subunit ribosomal RNA", at positions 527 to 1382 of the family's 1533-position model. The record is from RNAcentral.